CGGCUAAAUGAGGACAAAGCUGUCUCUUACGGCCUAGCCAAUGAAAUUGAUCCUCCAGUACAAAAGCUGGAAUAAACUCAUAAGACGAGAAGACCCUGUGGAGCUUUAAAACCAAGAUCAUUAAACUAUGCUCCUUGGAUUUUUAGUUGGGGCGACUUUGGAGCAAAAAAAACCCUCCAAAACAUAAAUUUAAUUAUUUAGACCAACACACCAAGAAAAUUAUAUUAGACCCAGCAGUAUUUUUUACUGUCUGACCAAUGAACCAAGUUACCCCAGGGAUAACAGCGCUAUCCUCUUCUAGAGUCCCUAUCGACAAGAGGGUUUACGACCUCGAUGUUGGAUCAGGACACCCCUAUAGUGCAGCCGCUAUAAAAGGUUCGUUUGUUCAACGAUUAAAGUCCUACGUGAUCUGAGUUCAGACCGGA
This 425-nucleotide ribosomal RNA is filed under the name Podarcis tauricus tauricus. RNAcentral describes it as "partial 16S ribosomal RNA". It matches the Rfam family "Bacterial large subunit ribosomal RNA", at positions 1997 to 2620 of the family's 2925-position model. Lineage: Eukaryota; Metazoa; Chordata; Lepidosauria; Squamata; Lacertidae. The record is from RNAcentral.